UACAGAGGGUGCGAGCGUUAAUCGGAAUUACUGGGCGUAAAGCGCGCGUAGGCGGCUUUGCAAGUCGGGUGUGAAAUCCCCAGGCUUAACCUGGGAACUGCAUUCGAGACUGCAUUGCUAGAGUAUGGGAGAGGGAAGUGGAAUUUCCGGUGUAGCGGUGAAAUGCGUAGAUAUCGGAAGGAACAUCAGUGGCGAAAGCAACUUCCUGGACCAAUACUGACGCUCAUGUGCGAAAGCGUGGGGAGCAAACAGG
This 253-nucleotide ribosomal RNA is filed under the name uncultured bacterium. Its description in RNAcentral is "partial 16S ribosomal RNA". It matches the Rfam family "Bacterial small subunit ribosomal RNA", at positions 524 to 776 of the family's 1533-position model. The record is from RNAcentral.